CUAGAUGGCAGGGUAACGGCCUACCAUGGCGACGAUCAGUAGCCGGUCUGAGAGGAUGAACGGCCACAUUGGGAUUGAGAUACGGCCCAGACUCCUACGGGAGGCAGCAGUGGGGAAUAUUGGGCAAUGGGCGAAAGCCUGACCCAACAACGCCGCGUGAAGGAAGAAGGCUUUCGGGUUGUAAACUUCUUUUAUCAGGGACGAAGGAUGUGACGGUACCUGAUGAAUAAGCCACGGCUAACUACGUGCCAGCAGCCGCGGUAAUACGUAGGUGGCAAGCGUUGUCCGGAUUUACUGGGUGUAAAGGGCGCGCAGGCGGGAGAGCAAGUCAGAUGUGAAAUCUAUGGGCUUAACCCAUAAACUGCAUUUGAAACUGUUUUUCUUGAGUGAUUGAGAGGCAAGCGGAAUUCCUAGUGUAGCGGUGAAAUGCGUAGAUAUUAGGAGG
Molecule: ribosomal RNA, 445 nt
Filed under: uncultured bacterium
Lineage: Bacteria
Description: bacterial SSU rRNA
Rfam family: Bacterial small subunit ribosomal RNA
Source: RNAcentral